Molecule: non-coding RNA, 78 nt
Organism: Paramuricea clavata
Lineage: Eukaryota; Metazoa; Cnidaria; Anthozoa; Malacalcyonacea; Plexauridae
Source: the annotation of a GenBank genome assembly
UCUCAACAUCACUCAGUUGGUAGAGCAUCGAUCUAGUAAUUCGAAGGUCGCGGGUUCGAAACCGACCCGCGGCGGGAA